This 69-nucleotide transfer RNA is filed under the name Linckia laevigata. RNAcentral's name for it is "tRNA-Trp". Lineage: Eukaryota; Metazoa; Echinodermata; Asteroidea; Valvatida; Ophidiasteridae. The record is from RNAcentral.
AGGGGUUUAAGUUAAGAAAACUAAAAACCUUCAAAGUUUUAAAUAAAAAUGGAAAUUUUUUAACCCCUG